Molecule: transfer RNA, 76 nt
Filed under: Escherichia coli
Lineage: Bacteria; Pseudomonadati; Pseudomonadota; Gammaproteobacteria; Enterobacterales; Enterobacteriaceae
Also listed under: 3 other names
Description: tRNA-Val
Rfam family: tRNA
About the family: Transfer RNA (tRNA) molecules are approximately 80 nucleotides in length. Their secondary structure includes four short double-helical elements and three loops (D, anti-codon, and T loops).
Source: RNAcentral
GGCUGAUUAGCUCAGCUGGGAGAGCACCUCCCUUACAAGGAGGGGGUCGGCGGUUCGAUCCCGUCAUCACCCACCA